UACGGAGGAUGCAAGCGUUAUCCGGAAUGGUUGGGCGUAAAGCGUCCGCAGGUGGCAAUGUAAGUCUGCUGUCAAAGCGUCUGGCUCAACCAGAUAAAGGCAGUGGAAACUACAUAGCUAGAGUAAGGUAGGGGUAGAGGGAAUUCCUGGUGUAGCGGUGAAAUGCGUAGAGAUCAGGAAGAACACCGGUGGCGAAAGCGCUCUGCUGGACCUUAACUGACACUGAGGGACGAAAGCUAGGGGAGCGAAUGGG
This 253-nucleotide ribosomal RNA is filed under the name uncultured bacterium. Its description in RNAcentral is "partial 16S ribosomal RNA". It matches the Rfam family "Bacterial small subunit ribosomal RNA", at positions 524 to 776 of the family's 1533-position model. The record is from RNAcentral.